GGCUUCGUGACCGAGUGGUAAGGACACUGGAGUCCCGGGUUCGAUCCCCGGUCGAAGAGCUA
Molecule: transfer RNA, 62 nt
Filed under: Rhamnusium bicolor
Lineage: Eukaryota; Metazoa; Arthropoda; Insecta; Coleoptera; Cerambycidae
Description: tRNA-OTHER
Source: RNAcentral